RNAcentral lists this ribosomal RNA (498 nucleotides) under uncultured bacterium. Its description in RNAcentral is "partial 16S ribosomal RNA". It matches the Rfam family "Bacterial small subunit ribosomal RNA", at positions 28 to 507 of the family's 1533-position model. The record is from RNAcentral.
GACGAACGCUGGCGGCGUGCCUAAUACAUGCAAGUCGAACGAGAGCGCCCGGUGCUUGCACUGGUCAAUCUAGUGGCGAACGGGUGAGUAACACGUGGGUAACCUGCCCAUCAGAGGGGGAUAACAUCCGGAAACGGAUGCUAAAACCGCAUAGGUCUUCGAGCCGCAUGGCUUGAAGAGGAAAAGCGGCGCAAGCUUCUGCUGAUGGAUGGUCCCGCGGUGCAUUAGCUAGUUGGUGAGGUAACGGCUCACCAAGGCCGUGAUGCAUAGCCGACCUGAGAGGGUGAUAGGCCACAUUGGGACUGAGACACGGCCCAAACUCCUGCGGGAGGCAGCAGAAGGGAAUCUGCCGCAAUGGACGCAAAUCUGACGGAGCAACGCCGCGUGAGUGAAGAAGGUGUUCGGAUCGUAAAACUCUGUUGUUAGUGAAGAACAAGUGCUAGAGUAACUGUUAGCGCCUUGACGGUAUCUAACCAGAAAGCCACGGCUAACUACGUG